RNAcentral lists this ribosomal RNA (368 nucleotides) under uncultured eukaryote. RNAcentral's name for it is "partial 18S ribosomal RNA". It matches the Rfam family "Eukaryotic small subunit ribosomal RNA", at positions 592 to 976 of the family's 1831-position model. The record is from RNAcentral.
CAGUAGCGUAUAUUAAAGUUGUUGCAGUUAAAAUGCUCGUAGUUGAAGUUCGGAUGCAGCAGAGCUUGGAAACGCUGUUAUGGUGCUUCCGUUGCUUUUGCUUGUCCACAGUGCGUUGCAAGUACGUAUGUGCUUGUGCGUGCAUUUUACUUUGAGAAACAUAGGGUGUUCCACGCAUGUUACGGCAUGAAUAUUCCAGCAUGGGAUAAUCUGGUACGACUUCCAAUCUGCCAUUUUGGUUCGUAGGUUGGAAGUAAUGAUUAAUAGGGACUGUCGGGGGCAUUGGUAUUUGACUGUCAGAGGUGAAAUUCUUAGAUACGUUGAGGACCAACCACUGCGAAAGCAUUUGUCAAGGAUGUCUCCAUUAA